Molecule: long non-coding RNA, 947 nt
Organism: Rosa chinensis
Lineage: Eukaryota; Viridiplantae; Streptophyta; Magnoliopsida; Rosales; Rosaceae
Exons: 2
Source: RefSeq, a predicted model, not a curated record
UUAGUGAACAAUAGUCAAACGCAGACCAAAAAAAUCGCAGGUGCAGUAAAAGCCAAAUUUACCACAAGCAGCGGGUGGUCUGGGCAUCUCGACCGGCUUCCUCGCUUUCUCUCAAAACCCAGAACUCCAAAGCACAUCGCCGACUCUGCUGCGUUUCCAUUUUUAGCGGGCCUCUUCACAAAUCACAAUUGGUUCCCACCCAAAUUGAAUUUGAGGGUUUUGGAUUCGAUCUGAAUCCGAUCGUAAGUCUGAUUUGAUCGAAAGCAAAAGGCUUUGCGAGAAUCAAUGCCUCAAGAUUUGCCGUCGGAUCAGGAAGCAGACGAUGCCGGAGCUGAGUUCACUAAGGUUGAUCUCAUUGGUCGUUACGGACGGUAUAUAGAGGUUCAUCAAGAAAGUGUAUCCUUUUUGCUCUGUUCUUUGUCAAAGUCUCAUUGAUGGGUUGAUGAAUUGAAUUGCUGUAGCCUGAAUUGAUGAUUGUUUAGCAUUUAUUCUUGCUGCGAAGGUUGUGGUCCUCAUUAUCUUCUUUCUCACUAUGGCUGCUAAAUGCACAUCAGAAUCGUGCUAUGAGACCAUCUUAAGAAUAGCUUCCUCAAGUCUCAGUCAAGAAAUUGGUACGGAAACCGUAAAUUGAUCGAGCUAGAGCUCUCGUAGUAGCUACUGCUGCUUUGUUGUGAUGCUACAUAUAUUCAAAUUCCCAAUGACUAAUAGGUCAAAGGAAAGCAUAGGAGAAAAUCAACUGUGUUUCCUUCUGUUUGAAUUUUGUUGCAAGAGAGGAAACUUGUUAGUAGAAGUGGUUUUUGUUCUAAAAGCCUGUGUAGAGGUCUUAAUUCGAUCGGUUGCUUUUUUGUUGUAGCAGAAUUCUCACCGAGGUGGUGUUCGCUUAUUUCAUUGUUGUUAAUCAGAAAUACUCUUUUGUAGUUUCAAAAAAAAAAAGAAAAAAGGAAGAA